Molecule: long non-coding RNA, 947 nt
Organism: Triticum urartu
Lineage: Eukaryota; Viridiplantae; Streptophyta; Magnoliopsida; Poales; Poaceae
Source: RefSeq, a predicted model, not a curated record
GACCGAGCCCCUCCCACUCCGCACCAGUUCCCCCAACUCUCCCUACCAUCUCACGCACGCCGGCCGUCCACCUCGCCGUUUCGGUCCCCGCAUUGUCCGGCACCUCUGUUCCCCGCCCGCUCGCCGGAGACUCGCCGCGAUGCAUGUCAGCGAAGGGAGGUGGUCCUCGGAGGUGGAACCUUACAAUUGUUCAUAUGGUGGAGAGUCAAAAUUUGAAAUGUAAAACUUCUACUUAUCCAUAGUAGGUGCAACAUGUUGUAGCUGAACAGAUGAUCUUUAUCAGCAUUUUGGCAGAUGUGGUUUAUCUUCAUCAUAUUUCAGUAUUAGCCAUGACAGCGUCUUUUCGUUUAUUUAACUAUUUUUCCUCUUUCUUGCUUGAGAAAAGUAUAAGAAGAGAAAAGGAUCAUUGAUUCUUGACCAUGAGAUUUUGUCAGAAUUCCUCAUGACCAUGCAUGAUCAACGAGGAUUUGACUGAUGUAUCUUUUUUCUGAGGCUAUAGGAGAUCAUUUUGCUGGGAUGAUGACAAGAGGUCCUGUCAUGGACUUCCAAGUGCAAUAUCUUGUACAUGUCACUCUGGUUAAGAAAAAACAUACUCUCUCAGAGGUGGAAGCUUAGAAAUUGUUCAUGUGCUGGAGAUUUGAGACGAAAUUUGAAGUGGCAAAUUUCUAGUUACACCCAUGGUACUUGCAGCCGCACAGAUGAUCUUUACCAACAUUUUGUCAGAUGCAUUUCAAUAUUUGCCAUGACGCCGUCUUUUUUAUUUAUUUAUUCUUGCUUGAGAGAAGUGUAAGAAGAGGAGGAAAGGACCAUUAAUUCUUGACCAUAAGAUUCUUUUCAGAAUUUCUCAUGAUCAGGCAUGAUCAACAAGGAUUUGGCUGCUUCUUUAACUUGCGCCACAAAAAAAAAAACUUGCCCCAUUUCUUGUUUAAUGCUUGGAAGUCAUAAAC